RNAcentral lists this ribosomal RNA (483 nucleotides) under Cryptosporidium parvum. RNAcentral describes it as "partial 18S ribosomal RNA". It matches the Rfam family "Eukaryotic small subunit ribosomal RNA", at positions 42 to 1061 of the family's 1831-position model. The record is from RNAcentral. Lineage: Eukaryota; Apicomplexa; Conoidasida; Eucoccidiorida; Cryptosporidiidae.
GCCCCCAACCCCCCCCGGGAAUUCCCCCCCCCCCCCAAGGGGAGUAUUAAAAAAGGUUGCCGCAGUAAAAAAAGCGAGGAGGGGGUUCUGUUAAUAAUUUAUUAUAAAAAAUUUUUUGAGAAUUUUUUAUAUAUUAUCCACAUUCUUCAUACUACUUUUUUUUUUAGUAUAUGAAAUUUUACUUUGAGAAAAUUAGAGUGCUUAAAGCAGGCAUAUGCCUUGAAUACUCCAGCAUGGAAUAAUAUUAAAGAUUUUUAUCUUUUUUAUUGGUUCUAAGAUAAGAAUAAUGAUUAAUAGGGACAGUUGGGGGCAUUUGUAUUUAACAGUCAGAGGUGAAAUUGGGUAGAGGGGUUAAAGACAAACUAAUGCGAAAGCAUUUGCCAAGGAUGUUUUCAUUAAUCAAGAACGAAAGUUAGGGGAUCGAAGACGAUCAGAUACCGUCGUAGUCUGAACCAUAACUAUGAAGGAGUAGAGAUGGAGGUG